This 117-nucleotide ribosomal RNA is filed under the name Bacillus subtilis. Lineage: Bacteria; Bacillati; Bacillota; Bacilli; Caryophanales; Bacillaceae. The record is from RNAcentral. RNAcentral also lists the same sequence under 3 other names.
UUUGGUGGCGAUAGCGAAGAGGUCACACCCGUUCCCAUACCGAACACGGAAGUUAAGCUCUUCAGCGCCGAUGGUAGUCGGGGGGUUUCCCCCUGUGAGAGUAGGACGCCGCCAAGC